AAGAACCAGUCACUACUUUGGUUCUCACCAGGUGGGACCCGCUUGUCGGUCAGUAGACACGAGCGGAGCACCGAGCAGGCGCGCAGCACAUCAUCUGUCACACCGGCGGCGGCGGCGGCAUGGGGAUGGGCGGUCGAGGUGUGGUUGGCGACAGGUGGUCGCAGCGCGUCCUCUGGAUGUGCGCCAUCGGCAGCGCCGUGAGCCUGUACUUCUUGGCGGUGGAGAGGCAGGCGCAGAACCGCGCGCGGGCGGUGUCCGAGGGCUUUAAGGGCCUGGACGGCGCAGACGGAGGUGGCAGCCGUGGCGGGGAGGACGUGUGACUUUGGCGGCGCCGAGGUGAAAGGGCGUGUAGGCAUGUGCCUUUCUGCUCGAAGCCUGAGACAAGUUAGAGUUUGCUUAUCUGCUGCUUGUUCACAAGAUUCACAGAAUCGUUGCAAUAAGAAUGUACUGCUAAUUGCUCCCUGUGUUGCUGUAUGUCAAUGUUUGGGGGCAAGAAUUGUUAUCUGACGACAUGAUGCUUUUUUGUGUGAAAUGUGAGUUGGAAAAUUCAGAUUAUGCUUCA
Long non-coding RNA from Triticum dicoccoides, 562 nucleotides. RefSeq lists it as uncharacterized. The transcript is spliced from 2 exons. NCBI's taxonomy places the organism in Eukaryota, Viridiplantae, Streptophyta, Magnoliopsida, Poales, Poaceae. The record is from RefSeq and is a predicted model, not a curated record.